UGCAAUGGUUCUUCUUCUCUU
This 21-nucleotide non-coding RNA is filed under the name Caenorhabditis elegans. Lineage: Eukaryota; Metazoa; Nematoda; Chromadorea; Rhabditida; Rhabditidae. The record is from RNAcentral.